UCGGUGCCGCAGCUAACGCAUUAAGUACUCCGCCUGGGAAGUACGCUCGCAAGAGUGAAACUCACAGGAAUUGACGGGGACCCGCACAAGUAGCGGAGCAUGUGGUUUAAUUCGAAGCAACGCGAAGAACCUUACCUAAGCUUGACAUCCCAAUGACAUCUCCUUAAUCGGAGAGUUCCCUUCGGGGACAUUGGUGACAGGUGGUGCAUGGUUGUCGUCAGCUCGUGUCGUGAGAUGUUGGGUUAAGUCCCGCAACGAGCGCAACCCUUGUCUUUAGUUGCCAUCAUUAAGUUGGGCACUCUAGAGAGACUGCCA
Molecule: ribosomal RNA, 315 nt
Filed under: Clostridioides difficile
Lineage: Bacteria; Bacillati; Bacillota; Clostridia; Peptostreptococcales; Peptostreptococcaceae
Description: bacterial SSU rRNA
Rfam family: Bacterial small subunit ribosomal RNA
Source: RNAcentral